This 253-nucleotide ribosomal RNA is filed under the name uncultured bacterium. Its description in RNAcentral is "partial 16S ribosomal RNA". It matches the Rfam family "Bacterial small subunit ribosomal RNA", at positions 524 to 776 of the family's 1533-position model. The record is from RNAcentral.
UACGUAGGGACCGAGCGUUGUCCGGAAUCAUUGGGCGUAAAGAGCUCGUAGGCGGCUUGUCGCGUCGACUGUGAAAACUCGGGGCUCAACUCCGAGCUUGCAGUCGAUACGGGCAGGCUAGAGUUCGGUAGGGGAGACUGGAAUUCCUGGUGUAGCGGUGAAAUGCGCAGAUAUCAGGAGGAACACCGGUGGCGAAGGCGGGUCUCUGGGCCGAUACUGACGCUGAGGAGCGAAAGCGUGGGGAGCGAACAGG